Small nuclear RNA from Myotis lucifugus (little brown bat), 104 nucleotides. NCBI's taxonomy places the organism in Eukaryota, Metazoa, Chordata, Mammalia, Chiroptera, Vespertilionidae. The record is from Ensembl.
GUGCUCGCUUUGGCAGCACAUAUACUAAAAUUGGAACGAUACAGAGAAGAUUAGCAUGGCCCUUGCACAAGGACAUGCAAAUUCAUGAAGCGUUCCAUAUUUUA